RNAcentral lists this ribosomal RNA (445 nucleotides) under uncultured bacterium. Its description in RNAcentral is "partial 16S ribosomal RNA". It matches the Rfam family "Bacterial small subunit ribosomal RNA", at positions 354 to 796 of the family's 1533-position model. The record is from RNAcentral.
GUGAGGAAUAUUGGUCAAUGGGCGCGAGCCUGAACCAGCCAAGUAGCGUGAGGGAUGACUGCCCUAUGGGUUGUAAACCUCUUUUGCAGGGGGGUAAAGUGGUUCACGUGUGGACCAUUGCAAGUACCCUGCGAAUAAGGAUCGGCUAACUCCGUGCCAGCAGCCGCGGUAAUACGGAGGAUCCGAGCGUUAUCCGGAUUUAUUGGGUUUAAAGGGAGCGUAGGCGGGGGUUUAAGUCAGCUGUGAAAUGCCGUGGCCCAACCAUGGAACUGCAGUUGAAACUGGACCUCUUGAGAGUACAUAAGGAAGGCGGAAUUCGUGGUGUAGCGGUGAAAUGCAUAGAUAUCACGAAGAACUCCGAUUGCGAAGGCAGCUUUCCGGGGUACAUCUGACGCUGAAGCUCGAAAGUGCGGGAAUCAAACAGGAUUAGAUACCCCUGUAGUCC